UAUAUAUAUAUAUAUAUAUAUAAAAUAUGAAUAUAUGAAUCAUGUUUGUUUAAAAUGAAAGUUAAGUUUAGGCUAGGACACCAGAGUGCUGUACGUUGUGUGUAAAGAUAUUUUUUGUAAUUGUGUUAUUACGUUCGCGCUUGUUUACCAUCCGGUAAAUCGUCCGGGCGAUCUCAAAGCCGCUCUGUUCUCGACGUAUGGAGUUUAGAUUUAUUCAGACGUGCCGUUUUAAACGUUUUCUCUCUCUUUCUUUUUCUCCCCUUCGCGAUUCCUUUCUGGGUUUUUUUGUUUGUUUGUUUGUUUUCUCGGGCAAACAUGUCACUUUGUUGAUUUUACAAGCCAAAGACGAGGAUCGCCGUCAGAUAAUCCCGAACGCUCUUUUAUCAACUCAACCGCUGUAGAUAGAUCCAGUGUUCUUGUGGAAAAGGAACAGGAAGUCCACUUCUCCUGCUUUUCCACUUCCUGCCACAGAGCCGAGCUGUAGAUGGUCAUAUCACAGGUGCGUGUGCGUUGUUUUGUUUUUUUUUCUUUACCCCCCCCCCCCCCCCCCAAAAAAAAUCACGUCUCUCGGGUGCGUUUUCUUACUUCGUCCUGUUAAUCAUCACUGUCCUUUUAAAGAGAAGAGCUUAAGCGAUUAAAUCCUGUUAAAUCUGUUUUUUUUUUUUUUUUUUUUUUUUUUUUAAAUAUCUCCACUUGUUUUGGCUAAUGAAUCAAAUGUUCUGCUUUCUAGAAUUCGAGACUGUAUUUUGUAAAAAGCUGAAGAAAGAUGUACUGUUCAUCUUUUAUUUUCUGGACUUCGAUUGAGUAGUGUUUGUUUUUUUUUGGAUUUAGUUUUUUUUUUUUCUUCCUAGCUCAUUCCGGUUUUCUCCUCGACUUCUUCUUUUGGAGGGACAUUUAAUUUUGUGUAAAUAACUUGGUAUCCAUUAAUAUGAUAACCAUUAAAAGGCUGUUCCAGUAUUCUGAGACUCUGAGAAGUAAAAAAAAAAAAAAAAAAAAAAAAAAAAAAAGGCUGUUUGUGUCUCGUUGUUUUUGUUUUUUUUUUUUUGUUAUUCUAGUCAUUGAAUUUUCUGAACUGCAAUUUUUUUUUUCUUUUUUUUUUUUUUUUUUUAAAGAAAAAGAAAUUUUCCCUGAGGGUACAGACAAGCAAAAAAUAAAGUGAUUGAAUGAAUGAAUAAAUAAAGAAUUAGAGCUUAAUUGGAUUUGUUUUUCUGACGAGCCACUGUGUUUAUAAUGAGGAAAAGGUCGGCGGUUGUACGGCACGCUUUUGAGUCAGAUCCAC
Long non-coding RNA from Ictalurus punctatus (channel catfish), 1279 nucleotides. The record is from Ensembl. Lineage: Eukaryota; Metazoa; Chordata; Actinopteri; Siluriformes; Ictaluridae.